Molecule: ribosomal RNA, 530 nt
Filed under: Meyerozyma guilliermondii
Lineage: Eukaryota; Fungi; Ascomycota; Pichiomycetes; Serinales; Debaryomycetaceae
Description: LSU rRNA
Rfam family: Eukaryotic large subunit ribosomal RNA
Source: RNAcentral
UUAGUAGCGGCGAGUGAAGCGGCAAAAGCUCAAAUUUGAAAUCUGGCGCCUUCGGUGUCCGAGUUGUAAUUUGAAGAUUGUAACCUUGGGGUUGGCUCUUGUCUAUGUUUCUUGGAACAGGACGUCACAGAGGGUGAGAAUCCCGUGCGAUGAGAUGCCCAAUUCUAUGUAAGGUGCUUUCGAAGAGUCGAGUUGUUUGGGAAUGCAGCUCUAAGUGGGUGGUAAAUUCCAUCUAAAGCUAAAUAUUGGCGAGAGACCGAUAGCGAACAAGUACAGUGAUGGAAAGAUGAAAAGAACUUUGAAAAGAGAGUGAAAAAGUACGUGAAAUUGUUGAAAGGGAAGGGUUUGAGAUCAGACUCGAUAUUUUGUGAGCCUUGCCUUCGUGGCGGGGUGACCCGCAGCUUAUCGGGCCAGCAUCGGUUUGGGCGGUAGGAUAAUGGCGUAGGAAUGUGACUUUACUUCGGUGAAGUGUUAUAGCCUGCGUUGAUGCUGCCUGCCUAGACCGAGGACUGCGAUUUUAUCAAGGAUGC